This 484-nucleotide ribosomal RNA is filed under the name uncultured bacterium. RNAcentral describes it as "partial 16S ribosomal RNA". It matches the Rfam family "Bacterial small subunit ribosomal RNA", at positions 28 to 507 of the family's 1533-position model. The record is from RNAcentral.
AUUGAACGCUGGCGGCAUGCUUUACACAUGCAAGUCGAACGGCAGCGCGGGCUUCGGCCUGGCGGCGAGUGGCGAACGGGUGAGUAAUGCAUCGGAACGUGCCCAGUAGUGGGGGAUAGCCCGGCGAGAGCCGGAUUAAUACCGCAUACGACCUGAGGGUGAAAGCGGGGGACCGAAAGGCCUCGCGCUAUUGGAGCGGCCGAUGUCGGAUUAGCUAGUUGGUGGGGUAAAGGCUUACCAAGGCGACGAUCCGUAGCUGGUCUGAGAGGACGACCAGCCACACUGGGACUGAGACACGGCCCAGACUCCUAAGGGAGGCAGCAGUGGGGAAUUUUGGACAAUGGGGGCAACCCUGAUCCAGCCAUGCCGCGUGCGGGAAGAAGGCCUUCGGGUUGUAAACCGCUUUUGUUCGGGAAGAAAUCCUCUGGGCUAAUACCCCGGGGGGAUGACGGUACCGGAAGAAUAAGCACCGGCUAACUACGUG